This 256-nucleotide ribosomal RNA is filed under the name uncultured bacterium. Its description in RNAcentral is "partial 16S ribosomal RNA". It matches the Rfam family "Bacterial small subunit ribosomal RNA", at positions 524 to 776 of the family's 1533-position model. The record is from RNAcentral.
UACGAGUGCCCCCAAGCGUUAUCCGGAAUUAUUGGGGCGUAAAGGGUGUGUAGGUGGUUUUGUUAGUCUUUUGUUAAAGCUCUCGGCUUAACCGGGAACAUGCAGGAGAAACGGCAUAACUAGAGGAUGCGAGAGGUGUGCGGAACUCAUGGUGUAGGGGUGAAAUCCGUUGAUAUCAUGGGGAACACCGAAAGCGAAGGCAGCACACUGGCGCACUCCUGACACUGAAACACGAAAAGCGUGGGUAGCGAAUGGG